This 74-nucleotide transfer RNA is filed under the name Spirochaetes bacterium ADurb.BinA120. RNAcentral's name for it is "tRNA-Ile". It matches the Rfam family "tRNA". Rfam says of the family: Transfer RNA (tRNA) molecules are approximately 80 nucleotides in length. Their secondary structure includes four short double-helical elements and three loops (D, anti-codon, and T loops). Further hydrogen bonds mediate the characteristic L-shaped molecular structure. tRNAs have two regions of fundamental functional importance: the anti-codon, which is responsible for specific mRNA codon recognition, and the 3' end, to which the tRNAs corresponding amino acid is attached (by aminoacyl-tRNA synthetases). tRNAs cope with the degeneracy of the genetic code in two manners: having more than one tRNA (with a specific anti-codon) for a particular amino acid; and 'wobble' base-pairing, i.e. permitting non-standard base-pairing at the 3rd anti-codon position. Lineage: Bacteria; Pseudomonadati; Spirochaetota. The record is from RNAcentral. RNAcentral also lists the same sequence under 3 other names.
GGGCCUGUAGCUCAGUUGGUUAGAGCGUACGACUGAUAAUCGUAAGGUCGGUGGUUCGACUCCACUCAGGCCCA